GGGGAAUAUUGGACAAUGGGCGAAAGCCUGAUCCAGCCAUGCCGCGUGAGUGAUGAGGGCCUUAGGGUUGUAAAGCUCUUUCAGUGGGGAAGAUAAUGACGGUACCCACAGAAGAAGCCCCGGCUAACUCCGUGCCAGCAGCCGCGGUAAUACGAAGGGGGCUAGCGUUGUUCGGAUUUACUGGGCGUAAAGCGCACGUAGGCGGAUCGUUAAGUCGGGGGUGAAAUCCUGGAGCUCAACUCCAGAACUGCCUUCGAUACUGGCGAUCUUGAGUCCGGAAGAGGUGAGUGGAACUCCUAGUGUAGAGGUGGAAUUCGUAGAUAUUAGGAAGAACACCAGUGGCGAAGGCGGCUCACUGGUCCGGUACUGACGCUGAGGGGCGAAAGCGUGGGGAGCAAAC
RNAcentral lists this ribosomal RNA (400 nucleotides) under uncultured bacterium. Its description in RNAcentral is "bacterial SSU rRNA". It matches the Rfam family "Bacterial small subunit ribosomal RNA", at positions 356 to 773 of the family's 1533-position model. The record is from RNAcentral.